RNAcentral lists this ribosomal RNA (426 nucleotides) under uncultured bacterium. Its description in RNAcentral is "bacterial SSU rRNA". It matches the Rfam family "Bacterial small subunit ribosomal RNA", at positions 32 to 449 of the family's 1533-position model. The record is from RNAcentral.
AAUCAACGCUGGCGGCGUGCCUCAGACAUGCAAGUCGAACGCGAAAGUCCCCUUCGGGGGGCGAGUAGAGUGGCGCACGGGUGAGUAACACGUAGGUAAUCUACCCCCGAGUGGGGAAUAACUCAGGGAAACUUGAGCUAAUACCGCAUAAUGCAGCGGCACCACAUGGUGACAGUUGUUAAAGCAUUUAUGCGCUUGGGGAGGAGCCUGCGGCAGAUUAGCUAGUUGGUAAGGUAAUGGCUUACCAAGGCUACGAUCUGUAACCGGCCUGAGAGGGCGGACGGUCACACUGACACUGAAUAACGGGUCAGACUCCUACGGGAGGCAGCAGUCGGGAAUUUUGGGCAAUGGGCGAAAGCCUGACCCAGCAACGCCGCGUGAAGGAUGAAAUCUUUCGGGAUGUAAACUUCGGAAGAAUAGGAAGAA